AUUGACAUCUUUUAUUUUCCAUGUUGUAGACAUGAUGAUAUAAAGAUAGGCCACUGAGAUAUGUGACAUAUAUUCCAUAUUUUUAGACAUGAGGACUUGGUACUUGAGACGGAUCUUUCGCUUGCUUGCCAUUGUGCUCAUUCGCACAUGCUUGUGAGGGUCGCUCCCUACAAGCCGGCACUCCGGAGAUAGCCAUCGCGACAUAUGCUCGCUCGUGCGGGAUUGGGCGCCGAAAUAGGAUACCGUGGGGGAGGCUCAUUCCUAGAGUGGGGAUGUUGACUACCACGGGGCCAUUAGGCACAGCGCAGGCCAGACAGCCUACUGGUGGGUCUUACGUGAUUGGAACUUAGUGACAGAACAUGCCAUUUGGACUUUGACUAGAAUAGUAAACAAUGACAUUUUACUAUCUACCUUGUGGACAUUCUGUUGAUUACAUAUACAUGCUUAUACAUGUUAGUCACACUCAUGUAUAUACUUGUUGUAGUUGUUUUAUUCCUUAUGGAAUUCAUGCGAAGUAGAGAUAUCAUGAUAGAGUAGUACUCAUGGUUAUAUACUUGCUCUUUAUUUAGCUUUUGUGUAUACUCGUACUUACUCACUUUUGUUCAGUUUUGGGCCUAGUGUCGCAUUUCACUGAAGUCAGUAAUUGCCCACUGGGAACUAUUUUUAAUAGUUCUCACGCCCCUGUUUCUAUGGUUUUAUUUCAGAGCCCUCUACACCGGUGGAGGCACGGGAUCGCGGCAAGGGGAUCGCUUAGCUAGCUAGCGAGGAGCAUUUCUUUUGCAUUUUGGUAGUUCACUCUCCUUAUGAUGUUGUAGUUGAGAGAAAGAGAGUUAUGUUGGUACCUUGUAUAGAGAGACCACCUAUGUAUCCGGUUUAGCUUUUAUACUUUGGAUGUUUAUUGUAGUACUUCCGGUUUUUAUUUAGUGGAUUUAACUUUAUGUUCAUUUCGGUUAUUGUAGUAUCUAGAUAUACUUGCUCUGAUACUGCUAGAUGUUCGCUUUAUCUCGUCUUAUUUAUCGUUUUAUUUUAGACGCCUUAUAUGUUUCAGACAUAUGGCGGGUCUGGGCACGUGCCGGGCGGGCUUCCGCUGUGUCCCGGGGCGUGACAGAUUAAUUUGGUAUCAGAGCCUAGGGUUGAGUCUUAGGGGAUCUAGCAAACCUUAUGUAACACACUGGACCUUUGCAAAUUGCGAGGUUCGAGUGAUUGGCUGUGUUCUGAGCAAUUCCAAACUUUCUGGUGGGUCGUUGACAGUGUUUCAACCUAUGGCUCGCAUCCCGAGAAGUGAGGUUUAAAGCCUAGCACAAAAACCCGAAAAAAUGAAUUUUUAGAUAACUCUCGGAUUGCAUUUUCUGAGGCUGUGUACCGGUACAGGCUGAUGACUGUACCGGUACGAGGUUGAUGGUUGUACCGAUACAGCCACUAGGCUUGUACCGGUACAGGGCCGGUUACCCCGCCAACCCGAGCCUCGGGUUGUGAUUUUCGUGGGGCUUGUACCGGUACAAGGGCCCGUGUACCAGUACAUGGUGGCAGAAUCUGAAUGUUUGAUUCUGCAGGGGUGUUUUUGCAUUAUUGCCUUCUUAUAUCAGCACCCACGCCCCUAGGGCUCUCCCCUGAGCUGAGAGGAGAGGAGAACCAGGUAAGGGAGCUCCCCACACCAUCUCUUUGGAUUUGAUCUCCAUUUUGUAUAGGUUUUGAUGGAUUUUUCCUCUCUUUUGCCCUUUGGUGCCAUUUCCACCAUAGAUGAAGCUUGAGCUUGAAUUUGAGGCUUGGUUGAGGGAAGAUCUUAAUUGAUAGAGGACUUAGAACCUUGAUUGAAGCUUCUAAGAGGUUAGUAGCUCAUUCUCUUUCUCUAGAUUUGAGUUUUGUUGCUUUUUGAUAGUUUGAACCCUAGAAUGUGAAUUUAGGGUUUAUUUUGGGCAUUUUGAUUCUAGGACUUUUUGGGCUAAAUUAUUAGGAUUAGAGCACUCCUUUGGGUUGGAUUGGAAGGAUCUUAGCCUUCUUUUGGAGCUUGUGAGAGUUUUUCUCCACCCUAGGUGAGAUUUUAGCCCUUUUGCCUUGUUGGUUAAUGUUUGAUCUUAUAGUUGAUCGUAAUGCCCGUGUAUCUCUUCGCUCAAUACUUUUAGGGUAUUUGGAGACUCGUCGACAACUCCGUCGAAUCGAGGGAUUACGCGACGGUUCGGUGGGUUUGACCUAGCCACACAAUGAGAAAAUCUCAUUUGUGAUGUUUUGAGUAUCGUUAAAUGAAAAGGCAUGCAUAAUCAUGUUAGAUAUAUUUAUUAUGAAUUUUAGAAUGCUUAACAUGCAUAUGUUAUGUAUAGUGAAUUUUUGGACCCCUACGUGGUAGGAUGCAUGCAUGUGGGACAUAGCAUUCUAGUUGGAACUUGGAACCUUGAUUCCUAUGAUGAAAAUGAAUAUUACUUUCAUGCAUUUAACCUUUAAGCCCAAUUGUGACAUUAGGGGCUUUGGAAGCCUAGAGAGGCUUGGGGAUUUAGACUAUUUGAGAUUUUGGGCCAAUGUCAUAAAGAGGCAUUGGGCCCCGGGCUAUAAUGAAUGUUGGUAUAAUGUCAUAUUUGGAACAUAGAAUAUGAAUUGAGCUUGAUUAGUUGUGAUGCUUAAGUGUCAUAAAGAGGCACUAAGCAAGUGAGUGUUGAGUUAUCACAUCGUGACAUAGAGCUAGACCUUUGGGUUAUUAGUAGCUAUUGCCAUGUUUGAGACAUGAGGGUUGGAUACUUAUGCCUUGACUACGCUUGCUUGCCAUUUGUGCUCAUUCGCACAUGCUUGUGAGGGUCGCUCCCUACAAGCCGGCACUCCAGAGUUAGUCUAUACGACCUAUGUUCGCUCGUGCGGUAUUGAGAAGCCUACGGGGUCGAGUGGGACAGACACAUCCCAAGAGUAGGGAUGUUGGGCUACCACAGGCACUUAGGCGGCAUAAGCUGGACUACCUUUGGUAGGUCCUUAAUUGGAAAUGAAAAUCGACACAGUGUUGAUAAUGAAUGAUCACUACUAGAUAGGCUUAGUAGUUGGAUUACUUUGACAUGCUCAUGACAUAGCUUUGGGACAUUUGGUAUACUUGCUUGUUUCAUUCAUUGCAUUGAGGUAUACUUGGUUGCUUGAUAGAGCUUAUUCCCUACGUAUUGACAUACUGCAUCGAGAUGCUUACUUGUCGGUUAUGAUUGGAACUUAAUAGUCAUGCUUUGGACAUACUUACCAUGAUAGAGUAGAUGUACUAUACUUUGACAUCAUGGUUACUUGAGACGUAGUAGUAUAGCAUUUCAUUUAUGCUUUCUUUCAGCAGUUCUUAUACUCGCUCUUUAUUGAUUAUUAUUAUUUUUGUCGUUACUUACCCUUCUCUUUUGGGGCCUAGUGGAGCUUAAGCUGAGGUCAGCAAUUGCCCACUGGGAACUAUAAAUUAUAGUUCUCACGUCCUCGUUUUCUUGAUGUUUUCAGAGCCUUCCACGUUGGGAGAGGCUAGGGGCCGCGAGAAGGGAGUUGCUACGAGCUAGCUUCCUUCGAGGACGAUUCAUUAGGUGGUCUACCUCUCGUUGUUUUAUUUUGUGAGAGGUUGAGAGUUGUACCCGUAUAUGUAUAGAGGCCACCCUUCUUUUGGAUUUAUGUAUUUCUUUUGAGGAGUUAGAAUUGUAUCACCUUGUGCUUUACUUUUAUGGAUUAGUAUAUUUUCUUUAUUCUUGUUUUAGAAGAUAGAACUUUACUCGCUCUAAUAUCAUUAGAUGUUAUUCAUUUCUAGUCGUUGUAAUUCUUGCUUUUACUUCCGCUUUUAUUUUAGACGCCUUAUAUGUGCGGACAUAUGGCGGGUCUGGGCGCUCUACCGGGAGGGCCUCCACCGGUCCCGGGGCGUGACAGAUUAAUUUGGUAUCAGAGCCUAGGGUUGAGUCUUAGUGGACCUAGCAAACCUUAGGCCAGUUGGACUAUAGGAAAUAGGCUCGUAAGAGACGAGGUCUAUUUGACUUGUGAGCGAAAGUAUCCUGAUUGGGUGUCUUGAUAACUCUAAAAAGUUAGAAUUCGAUCGGAGUGUAUGGCUUCUAACUUCGAGGAGGGUUACGUUGGCGGCCGACAACGUAACAUCGGGAGUUAGUAGCGAAGGACACUUUCUUACUUUCACAUGAUCUGGGUUUUAUCUAUUUGAGAGGGGAUGCGAUAGCGCAGGUUACUAACUUGCGCUUUUAUAUUUUGUAGUGACAAUGCCGGUUACACGCUCCCAGUCUGCCGUGGCGGACGAUGCGGCACACCCCGAGGAGGGCGAGACCUCCGCUACUUCCGGAUCUAGUAAGGUCCGUGACUUGAGGACCCAGCUUGCGGUUCUCACUGACCUGUUGGCGCAGCAGACGGCAGCGGCGCAGCGACAGGCUGAGGUGGCUCAGCGGCAGGAGGCGCGGAUGAAGCAUCUUGAGGAUCUCCUACUUCAGCAGGCAGCAGCUUCGAGGGAGACCCAGGUUCCCACACCGCCAGCACCCGUGGUGGACGUCGCACCAAGAGCGCUGUCCCCCGUGCCCAGUUCUUCUCGUGCGGCACCGGCGACCACACCUCGGGAGGAGGUGGCUGCGGCACACCCAGUUCAGAGACCGGCCACGUGGGUAGCUUUCCCUAUGAGGGCCGAGGGAGCCGAGCUGGAUCGGCUCAUGGAUCGCCUCAAUGAGUUCAGGAGGUGCAGCCCGAGAACGUUUGAUGGCAAGAACGUCAACCACUGGAUUGUUGAGAAGUGGUUGAUGCACAUGGAGAAGCUUUUUCGAGACACCUUUGUGGAGGAGCGGGAUAGAGUUUAGCUCGCCACUCACUUUCUCGACGGCGAGGCCUAUCGUUAGUGGUUGGAUAUCCAGGACAACCCCAACACCGACUUGGCAGCGAUUACUUGGACGCGAUUCAAGGAGCUUCUUCUGGCGCACUACUUCCCGACCAGCGUCAAGAGGAAGAUGGAGCAGGAUUUGCGCAGCUUGCGCCAGGACGAGCGGACAGUGGCCGAGUACGAGAGGGAGUUCUCCCGGAUACUACACUGUGUACCGUUUGUGGUAAGGGAUGAUGAGGACAAGGCCCGCAUUUUUUAGCGCGGAUUGCGGCCUUCUAUCUUUCGGUUGGUACAGUCCUCCAACCUCUAGACCUACCAGGAGGUUGUGGAUCGAGACUGAUAGUGGAGGCAAGAGCGGCGGAUUUGCAGGAGCGUCACGAGAGCUCAGAGAAAAGGAAGGAAAAGAGGCCCGCGGUUGAGGGUGCGAGUCAGACACACUCACGGAGGCCGCCGAGGCACCCCAGGAGCCGGAGCCAGUCACGGGGACAUGGCUCGUCUACUUAGUGAGGAGUACCCGAUCGUCGCCAAGCUCCCCGCUGCGUGAUCUGUGGUGGUCCCCACUACCCGCGACAGUGUUCACGCAGCAGGGGCGGGUGUUUCUUGUGUGGCCAGGAGGGCCACUUCCAGUCGAACUGCCCGAGAGGUUCAGCGCCAGCGCCAUCUUCGGCAUCUGCACCAGCAUCNGGGCAUAUAGUAUACUUCACAGUAUCGCUUAUUACAUUGUAGUAUUUUUGGUUGCUAUGAUAGUACAUACUAGAUAUGUAGGGGACUUCAGGACAUAUAGCAUAUUUCAUAGCAUUACUUGUUGCAUCAUAACAUUUUGCUUAUGUUUCGGCAUAUUGGAUCAUGUAGAGUAGAUGUACUCCAUGUUGACAUUCAGAAUACUUGUGGCAUAGUGGUAUAGCCUUCUCUAUAUGCUUUCUUUUCUGCAGUUACAUUUCCUUAUCUACAUCUGUUUAUGUUUUGGGCCUAGUGGUGCAAUUUGGUGCAGGUCAGUAAUUGCCCACUGAGAACUAUAAUUUAUAGAUCUCAUGCCCCCUGUUUUAUGUCUUCUUUCAGAGCCUUCCACUUCGGGAGAGGCUCGGGAUCGCGGGAAAGGUAUCGCCUUGGGCUAGCUAUCGAGGGAUUUGGCGAUAGGUGGUCCACCUCUCUUUUGUUUUCUCUUGAGAGAGGUUGUGAGAGUUUUGUACCUGGUUAUAGAGACCACCCUACUUAUGUAUUUGGAGAUCUAUGAUGUAUUAGUUUACUUUAUGCUUUAGUAGUAUUAUUUUCUUUUGACUCUACCUGAUGUUAGAACCUAGCUAUAUACUUGCUCUGAUAUCCCUAGUUGUAGAUUUUCUCUUGCUUUACUCUUCCGCUUUUGUGUAGACGCCUUAUAUGUGUAGACAUAUGGCAGGUCUGGGCGCGCUACCGGGAUGGCCUCCGCCGGUCCCCGGGCGUGACACCUUAGGCCGGUUGGACUAUAGGAAAUAGGCUCGUGAGAGACGAGGUCUAUUUGACUUGUGAGCGAAAGCAUCAUGAUUGGGUAUCUUAAUAACUCUAAAAAGUUGGAGUUGAUCGAAGUGUAUGGCUUCUAACUUCGCGGAGGGUUACGUUUGCGGUCGACAACGUAACAUCGGGAGUUAGAAGUGUAGAACACUUCCUUACUUUCGCAUGAUUUGGGUAUUAUCUUUUCAGCGGGGAUUCGAUAGCGUGGGUUUGCUAACUUGCGCUUUUAUGAUGUUGUAGUAACGAUGCUGAUUACACGCUCUCAAUCUGCCGGAGCGGAUAAUGCGGCAAACUUGGAGGAGGUCGAGACCUCCGCUACCUCCGGAUCCGGCGAGGUCCGUGAGUUGAGGGGCCAGCUUGCGGCCCUCACUGAUAUGGUGGCACAGCAGACGGAGGCGGCGCGCCGGCAGGAGGGGCGGAUGAAGCGCCUAGAGGACCUUCUUCUGCAGCAGGCAGUAGCUUCCACGGAGACCCAGGCCACUACACCUCCAGCACCAGUUAUGGACGUCGCGCCAAUAGCGCCUUCCCCUGUGCCCAGUUCGUCGCAUGCGGUGCCCGCGGCCACGCCUCAGGAGGAGGCUUUGGCUGCGCCACCUAUUCAGGCGCCCCCGAUCGGAGCUGUUUUCCCCAUGUUGGUUGAGGGAGCGGAGUGGGACCGACUGAUGGAACACCUUAACGAGUUCAAGAGGUGCGGUCCCCGGAUAUUCGACGGCGAGAAGGUCGACCACUGGAUCGUGGAGAAGUGGUUGAUGCACAUGGAGAAGCUCUUCCGCGACACCUUCGUGGAGGAGAAGGAUCGGGUUUAGCUCGCUACACACCACCUGGACGGCGAGGCCUAUUGCUGGUGGUUGGAUCUCCAGGAGCACCCCAGCAUUGACUUGGCAGCUAUUACUUGGAAGAGGUUCAAGGAGCUUCUUUUGGCGCAUUACUUCCCGACCAGCGUCAAGAGGAAGAUAGAGCAGGGCUUGCACAACUUGCGCCAGGGAGACAGGACAGUGGCCGAAUACGAGCGGGAGUUUUCUCGACUUUUACACUGCGUGCCUUUCGUCGUGCGUACGGAUGAGGACAAGGCCCGGAUCUUCGAGCGAGGGUUGAGACCGUCGAUCUUCCGGUUUGUGCAAUCAUCUAACCUCCAAACCUACCGAGAGGUGGUGGAUCACGCACUCAUCGUGGAGAGCGACGUGGCAGAUGUCCAGGAGCGGCGAGAGGCUAUGGACAAAGAUAAGGCCAAGAGGCUUGCGGCUGAGGGUGCGAGCCAGACGCACUCUAGGAGGCCGCCGAAGCAUCCUAGGAGCCAGCAGCGUGGGCGUGACUCGGCGACUCACCGUGGAGGAUUUGACCGACGCUGACCUCCCCAGUGCGUGAUCUGUGGUGGUCCCCACAUUCCACCGCAGUGCCCGCAGCGGGGAGGGAGGUGUUUCCAGUGUGGCUAGGAGGGCCACUUCCGGACCGAGUGCCCGAAGGGUUCGUCACCUGCACCGUCAUCUGCAUCGGCACCGGCUCUACCAGCCGCCAGUCAGGGGACUCUAUCGGCACAGUACCAGACUGGGCGGCCACUCGUCUAGCGUUAGAGCGAGGGAUCCUGACAGGCCCCGAGUGGGCACAUAUAUGCCGCUCAGAUCGAGGAGGCGGCAGCAGCCGAGGAUGUGGUCGCAGGUAUCAUUUUACUCGAUGGCAUUAGAGUUCGUGCAUUAUUUGAUACCGGUGCAUCGCAUUCAUUCAUAGAUCGUCUGUUUGCCGAGUUACAUGGCAUCCCUAUGCUUUCUUUGUUGCAGCCGGGACGUGUAGUUGUCCCCGACCACUCUUUGGAUAUUAGAGAGUACUGCCCCAAUUGCCCCAUUCGGGUAGGAGAUUGGAUUAUGCCCGUGGACUUGCUAGCCUUGCGCAAGCUAGGGAAAUUUGAUGUGGUCUUAGGCAUGGAUUGGUUAACCAAGUAUUAUGCCACGAUAGAUUGCAAGAAUCGCACGGUUACUUUUAGAGAAUCGGGGCAGACUGAGUUUGUGUUUAGAGGAUGCCGGAGUUCGCUUUUUGCGAUGACGAUCAGCUCGUCUCGAGCUAGGCAGCUGAUCAGUAGAGGUUGCGUAGCCUUUUUGGCUAGUGUCGUGCUAAGGGGUGGGGACGACACCCCUAGAAUUGAGGAUAUCCCGAUAGUGCGGGAGUUUUGUGACGUGUUUCCAGCUGAGCUACCGGGUAUGCCACCCGAUAGGGAGAUCGAGUUUAUGGUAGAUCUCGUCCCUAGGACUACUCCAAUCUCGAAAGCGCCCUAUAGGAUGGCACCAGCGGAGCUGAAGGGCUGAGGGCACAGCUGCAGGAUCUUUUGGAUAAAGGCUUCAUUCGACCGAGCGUCUCGCCGUGGGGGGCGCAAGUUUUGUUCGUCAAGAAAAAGGACGGAUCACUUAGCCUAUGCGUGGACUAUCGUGAACUUAAUAAAGUCACGAUCAAGAAUAAGUAUCCGUUGCCGAGGAUCGACGACUUGUUUGAUCAGCUUCAAGGAUCGUGUGUGUAUUCCAAGAUCGAUUUGCAGUCAGGAUACCACCAAUUAAAGAUCAAACUCAAGGAUGUAUCGAAGACGGCUUUUAGAACACGGUAUGGACAUUAUGAGUUCACUGUUAUGCCGUUUGGGCUUACUAAUGCCCCGGCAGCUUUUAUGGAUCUAAUGAACCGUGUUUUUAAGCCUUAUCUAGACAGGUUCGUCGUGAUGUUCAUCGACGACAUUUUGGUUUAUUCCUGAAGUGAUGCAGAUCACGAGGAGCAUUUGAGGCUUGUACUUCAAGUACUUCGGGAAAAGGAGCUCUAUGUCAAGCUGAAAAAGUGUGAAUUUUGGCUUUGAGAGGUAGCUUUUCUUGGACAUUUGAUUUCGGGAUUGGGUAUAGCUGUGGAUCCUAAGAAGACUGAAGCAAUCAAGGAUUGGCCGAGACCGACAAGCGUCACGGAGAUACGGAGCUUCCUUGGAUUGGCCGGGUACUACCGGAGAUUUAUUGAGGGGUUCGCCAAGCUGUCUACUCCCCUCACGAGGCUCACGCAUAAAGGAGUCAAGUUUGUUUGGAAUGAGGCGUGCGAGAGAAGCUUCCAAGAGUUGAAGCAAAGAUUGACGACCGCCCCGAUCCUAACCCUGCCGAUAGCUGGAGCAGGGUAUGUGGUUUAUAGUAAUGCUUCACUUAAUGGAUUGGGUUGUGUGUUGAUGCAGGAUGGCAAGGUGAUCGCGUACGCUUCUCGCCAAUUAACGGAAUAUGAAAAGAACUAUCCGACGCACGAUUUGGAGUUGGCGGCCGUAGUCUUCGCAUUAAAGUUAUGGCGCCACUACUUAUAUGGCGAGCGGUGUGAAGUGUACACUGAUCACAAGAGUUUGAAGUACUUGUUCACUCAGAAGGAGUUGAACUUGAGACAGCGCAGAUGGUUGGAGCUGCUCAAGGAUUACGACCUGACGAUUUUUUACCACCCGAACAAGGCUAACGUGGUGGAGGAUGCGCUAAGUAGGAAAUCAAUGGAAAACUUAGCGAUGCAUGUUGUGGCUCAACCGCAGUUGAUCGAGCAGAUGAAGCGGUUGGAGUUGGAGGUGGUGACUCCUGACAUGCUCUUGAGGUUAAUGGCUUUGGUAGUGCAACCUAUAUUGUUGGAUAGAAUUAAAGAAAAGCAAGCUUCCGAUGUGGAGUUGCAAAGGAUUAAGGAUAAAAUGGUUAAUUGUUGCACCGGCGACUUCCUUGUGGAUGAUCAAGGAUUGAUGCGUUUUCGCAGACGGUUAUGUGUACCGGCAGAUGUGGGAAUCAAAGAGGACAUUCUUCAUGAAGCACACCGAGCACCGUAUGCUAUACAUCCGAGUGGCACCAAGAUAUACAAGGACUUAAAGUUGCUCUAUUAGUGGCCUGGGAUGAAAAAGGAUGUUGGCGAGUUUGUAGCUCAUUGUCUAACUUGCCAACAAGUAAAGGCUGAGCAUCGACUACCCGCGGAAAAACUUCAGAGUUUGCAUAUUCCCGUGUGGAAGUGGGAGAAGAUCACCAUGGACUUUGUGACUGAAUUGCCUCGCUCCCAGGCUGGGCAUGAUGCUAUUUGGGUAAUCGUGGAUAGGUUAACGAAGUUGGCGCACUUCAUACCUAUUCACACUACUUGGACUGGGGAGAAGUUAGCAUAAGUGUAGCUUGAUGAGAUUGUGCGACUUCACGGAGUGCCUACUUCGAUUGUAUCUGAUCGAGACACCCGGUUCGUGUCUCACUUUUGGAGGAGUCUGCAGGACGCUCGAUUGGACUUUAGCAUUGCUUUCCACCCCCAAAGUGACGGGCAGUCGGAGCGCACUAUUCAGACCUUAGAGGAUAUCCUCUGAGCAUGUGUGAUAGACUUCUAGAGAGGAUGGUCGCAGCAUCUACCGAUGGCGGAGUUUGCUGAUAACAAUAGUUAUCAAGCAAGUAUCAAGAUGGCACCCUUCGAGGCACUUUAUGGAUGGAAGUGUAGAUCGCCACUUCAUUGGAGCAAAGUUGGCGAAAAAUUGGCUUUAGGCCCAGAUGUGCUCCAGGAAGCUGAGGAUAAGGUUCGGAUUGCUCGGGAGCGACUUUUGACGGCGCAUAGUAAACAGAGGAGCUACGCCGAUCGACGGUGGCGAGACUUGGAAUUCCGAGUUGUAGAUCAUGUUUUCUUGAAGGUCUCACCGACAAGAGAAAUCAAGAGAUUUGGGGUUCCGGGUAAGUUAAGCCCUCGGUUUAUUGGACCGUAUGAGAUCUUGGAACAUGUAGGUCCGGUGGCGUAUCGACUUGCUCUACCGACGAACCUAUCGGGCGUGCACAACGUCUUUCAUGUAUCGGUCCUUCGAAAGUAUGUCUUCGACCUGACUCAUGUGUUGGAUGCUACACCCUUGGAGUUGCGGAACGAUUUGAGCUUCGAGGAGCAACCAGUGAAGAUCUUGGCUCGCGAGGUAAAGAAAUUACAAAAUCAGGACAUUCCGUAUGUAAAGGUCCUUUGGAGCAACCACGGGGAGCGGGAGGCCACGUGGGAGCUGGAGAGUGCGCUGCAAAAGAGCUAUCCCAUCUUUUUCAGAUGGAAUCUUGAGGUAUGUUGUUUGCUUUCGAGUUUCACGGACGAAACUCCUUUUUAGGAGGAGUGAAUGUAACACACUGAACCGUUGCAAAUAGUGAGGUUCGAGUGUUUGAUCUGUGUUCUGAGCUUUACCAGUUAUUCUGGAGGGUCGUAGACAGUAUUCCGGCCUAUGGCUCGCAUCCCGAGAAUUGAGGUUUAAAGCUUAUACCAAAAUCCAAAAAGAUGGAUUGUUGGUCCUGCUCUCGGGUCAGCCUCAACAAGGCUGUGUACCGGUACAACCAUACCGGUACAACCUUGAUAGUUGUACCGGUACAGGAUUUGUACCGGUACACCUUGAUGGUUGUACCAGUACACUAUAGGAUUUCUGCCAACCCGAGGCUCGGGUUGGGCUAUUUCGUAGGAAGUGUACCAGUACACUUUUUCGUGUACCGGUACACAAUGUAGACUAGGCUGUUUUCAGGGAGGGGUGUAUUUGCAAUUGUUGCAACCUCUUUAAAUACCACCCCAGCCCCCCUUAGCUGCUCUUUUGAGCCCUUAACCUGAGGAGACAAGGUAAGAACUCCCCCUCUUGAGUUCUUUUCUAUUUUUUGAUGGAUUUUAGUGGGUUUUGAUCUCCUUCCCUUUGCUCUUCUUUGCUUCUUGUUGGAUUCCUCCAUGGGAGAAGCUUGGAUUUCGGGAUUGGAGCUUGUUUGAGGAUCAACCUUCAAUCCUAGAGGACUCUAGGCUUGGUUUGGAGCUUUCAAGAGGUAAGUAACAAGUUUCUUUCAUCUAGAUUUGUGUUUUGUUGCUUUAUGUUAGUUGAAACCCUAGAUUUUGAGAUCUAGGGUUAGAAAUGGGGAUUUUUGAUUUGAGGCUUUUAGAACCAAAUUGAUUGGUUUAGAAUCAUGGUUUAGGUUGGCUUAGAAGGACUCUAACUCCUAUUUGGAGAUCGAGAGAGUUUUCUUCGCGUUCGGUGAGUUUUUCACCCUUUUCUUGAGUUGCUUAAUGUUCGAUCACUUGGGUGUUCGUAAGAUUCGUUUAACUCUCUUUUCUAUACCUUUAGGGUACUAGGAGAGUGGUGGACACCUUCAUCGGAGUAAACGAAGGGUUUCGAUUAGCUUCGAUGGGUUUGGCUUUAUUGGAAUAGGAGAAAAUGUCUCCUAAGUGGUUAAAUGCUUUCGUAUCAUCGUAGUUUAUGCAUUUUCAUCCUAGAUAGGAUUUAUGUGAAUUUUUGAAUGCUUAGAAUGCAUGCAUUAUGUAUCAUGAAUAUUUCUCUCUAUGUGAAGAGCCUUAUGUGUAGUAUCUAUGCAUGUGUUAAGUAUUUUUAUUGCACGUUUGGAAAUAUGUCUCUUAUGAGAAAAAUGUUUAAAAUUUGGUACUCUUGAACAUAAUCACCAUGCUUGACUUAGUGGACAAAGUGCCAUAAAGGGGCACUUGACUUAGAAAACUGUGAAACUGCAACUUAGAGACAUAGUGAUAGGCCAUUGACAUCUUUUAUUUUUCAUGUUGUAGACAUGAUGACAUAGAGAUAGGCCAUUGAGAUAUGUGACAUAUAUUUCAUAUUUUUAGACAUGAGGACUUUGUACUUGAGACGGAUCUUUCGCUUGCUUGCCAUUGUGCUCAUUCGCACAUGCUUGUGAGGGUCGCUCCCUACAAGCCGGCACUCCGGAGAUAGCCAUCGCGACAUAUGCUCGCNACAUGAUGACAUAGAGAUAGGCCAUUGAGAUAUGUGACAUAUAUUUCAUAUUUUUAGACAUGAGGACUUUGUACUUGAGACGGAUCUUUCGCUUGCUUGCCAUUGUGCUCAUUCGCACAUGCUUGUGAGGGUCGCUCCCUACAAGCCGGCACUCCGGAGAUAGCCAUCGCGACAUAUGCUCGCUUGUGCGGGAUUGGGCGCCGAAAUGGGAUGCCGUGGGGGAGGCUCAUUCCUAGAGUGGGGAUGUUGACUACCACGAGGCCAUUAGGCACGGCGCAGGCCAGACAGCUUACGGGUGGGUCUUAUAUGAUUAGAAUAGUAAACAAUGACAUUUUUACUAUCUACAUUGUGGACAUUCUGUUGAUUUCAUAUACAUGCUUAUACAUGUUAGUCACACUCAUGUACAUACUUGUUGUAGUUGUUUUAUUCCUUAUGUAAUUCAUGCUAAGUAGAGAUAUCAUGAUAGAGUAGUACUCAUAGUUAUAUACUUACUCUUUAUUUAGCUUUUGUGUAUACUCGUACUUACUCACUUUUGUUCAGUUUUGGGCCUAGUGGCGCAUUUUACUGAAGUCGGUAAUUGCCCACUGGGAACUAUUUUUAAUAGUUCUCACGCCUCCGUUUCUAUGGUUUUAUUUCAGAGCC
RNAcentral lists this long non-coding RNA (13631 nucleotides) under Ananas comosus (pineapple). RNAcentral's name for it is "long non-coding RNA (ACOM_LNC005369)". The record is from RNAcentral. Lineage: Eukaryota; Viridiplantae; Streptophyta; Magnoliopsida; Poales; Bromeliaceae.